This is an RNA transcript of Ipomoea nil (Japanese morning glory), 2440 nucleotides long. It is a transcript of the gene named cyclase-associated protein 1, with no coding region annotated. The transcript has 10 exons. NCBI's taxonomy places the organism in Eukaryota, Viridiplantae, Streptophyta, Magnoliopsida, Solanales, Convolvulaceae. The record is from RefSeq and is a predicted model, not a curated record.
AUUUCCAUUUUCCAAAACCCCCUUUUCCCCUUUCGGCGCAAAAAAAUUGAAAAAAUGGAGAUAAAAUACUAAACAUAUUAUGAGGCAUAUGUGCAAGCAGUAGUCUUCAUUAUUCAGAUCUACUUCAACUCCAAGUCUAGAGCGGGAGAAGUUUAGAGAGGGAGUGAAUCCUUAGUUGAGAAUUGAGAUGGAUGAGAAGUUGAUACAGCGGUUGGAGUCGGCGGUAGCUCGACUGGAGACGCUGUCCACCGGCGGAUUUGGCCAUGGAACUUCGCGUGAGGUUGACGUUAGUGCGGCGGCGUCGGAUCCAUCGAUCGUUGCAUUCGAAGAUCUGAUUUCGCAGUGCGUCGGGAGGCUGUCGAGUGCUGCUGAGAAGAUUGGAGGACAAGUUUUGGAUGCUACUAAGAUUGUAAAGGAUGCAUUCUCUGCUCAGAAGGAGCUUCUAAUCAAAACCAAGGGAAUUCAGAAACCUGACAUGAAGGGUCUCAGUGAGUUCUUGAAGCCUUUGAAUGAAGUAAUUAUGAGGGGAUCAUCGUUGACAGAAGGGCGGAGAUCUGAUUUCUUCAACCAUUUAAAGGCUGCCACUGAUAGUUUAACGGCUCUGGCAUGGAUUGCCUACACAGGAAAAGAUUGCGGUAUGAGCAUGCCCAUAGCCCAUGUUGAAGAAAGCUGGCAGAUGGCUGAGUUUUACAAUAACAAGAUUCUUGUAGAGUAUAGAAGCAAAGAUCCAAAUCAUGUUGAGUGGGCAAAAGCUUUGAAGGAGCUUUAUUUACCUGGAUUGAGAGAUUAUGUUAAAAGUCACUAUCCUCUGGGCCCUGUAUGGAAUGCUACAGGGAAGACUUUUGUAUCUGCUCCAGCUAAAGCUCCUGGUACUACUCCUGCACCUCCAGCUCCACCCCCAGCUUCACUCUUCAAGACUGAAUCUCCUAAGUCUUCAUCAUCACGUCCGAAGCAAGGAAUGGCUGCUGUUUUUGAAGAAAUAAGUUCUGGGAAGUCAGUAACUUCUGGUUUGAGAAAGGUUACAAAUGAUAUGAAAACAAAGAAUCGAGCAGACAGAAGUGGCAUUGUUGGAGCUAGUGAAAAGGAAGGCCGUGUUAGUUCACCCUCAUUCUCUAAAGCAGGACCUCCAAAAUUAGAGCUCCAAAUGGGUCGCAAAUGGGUGGUGGAGAAUCAAAUUGGGAAGAAAAAUUUAGUUAUUGAUGACUGCGAUGCCAAGCAGUCUGUAUACAUCUUUGGUUGUAAAGAUUCUGUUCUGCAGAUCCAGGGAAAAGUUAACAACAUAACCAUUGAUAAAUGUACUAAGAUGGGAGUUGUAUUCUCGGAUGUUGUGGCAGCUUUUGAGGUUGUCAAUUGCAGCGGUGUAGAGGUGCAAUGCCAGGGCGUGGCCCCAACAAUUUCAGUGGAUAAUACAUCUGGGUGCCUGUUAUACCUGAGCAAGGAUUCUUUGGAGGCUUCUAUUACAACAGCCAAAUCCAGUGAAGUUAACAUUUUGGUGCCUGGUGCAGGGCCUGAUGCUGAUUGGGUAUGUUUAUCAUUUUAUAUUAUGUGCUUGCUAUUAAAAUCUUCAAUACUGGAACUUAAUGAAACCCAUAGACCAUAUUUGAGUAUUUGACAUAGUUUCUGCUUAUUUCUUUACGAGUUAAAUUACAUACAAGCUGCUUUAUGUGAUUAUAUGUUACGCUCACCAUUAUAUAUUAAACUGAAAUUUGUGAACUAUUUGGCCUCUCUUUUGCUUUUGGCUUCCUUUAUGUUAUAGAUUUCUCAGUAUACAAUUCUCUUGCACCUGACAAACUACUCAUUCAUGAUGAGUUAAUUUUAGAAGCAAUACCAAUUGUAUAAAUUUUUAAUUAGAAAAAUUGAAAUAAGUAGCGUGAUAGUGCUCUCGUCAGGAUUGCUGGAAAUUAUUACUCUGUAUGAUUUGUUCAAUCUGUGAAUUUGGUGUGUAGGAGGAGCAUGCUUUGCCUCAGCAGUAUAUUCAUGUGUACAAGGAUGGCCAAUUCAUAACAUCUCCAGCCACCCACUCUGGAGGUUAAAAUGUUAAAUGGUGACAGCUCUCUCUUUUGAUUGCUUAUGCCUAUCAUUUUCUUUUUGCUCUGUGAAUUUGACUUGCCAAAGGGUUGGGAGGAAUUUCUUUUUCCUUAUAUUUGCUUCUGUGAUAACAUAUACAUUUUUGUUCAGUGUCCAAUACUUUUUGUUUUUUCUGGGCAGUUUGUUCGGAUGAAAAGAGCUUCUUGCGGGAGUCCUGUGUACUUUGUUGUGUUAUUUGUAUGGAAAUUAUAUUUGUGCCAUACCACAUUUUGAGAACAUUGUUACCCACCCGCCAGUUGUUUGGUGGAUCUUCAUGACAUUACAAUUUUUUGGGGUUAUAUCUCCAGAAUACAUAGUACAUAUUUGUUGUGUGUUCCUAAUUACUUGAGUGGUGAUUUUUGGGAAUGGUAAA